Mycena leptocephala is the source of this 89-nucleotide non-coding RNA. The record is from the annotation of a GenBank genome assembly. NCBI's taxonomy places the organism in Eukaryota, Fungi, Basidiomycota, Agaricomycetes, Agaricales, Mycenaceae.
GACCUGGUGGUGAAAUGUAUCAUGCCCACUCUGCCUAUGCUUGUUGGAAAUGUUGGUGGAAAUCUCCGGUUCGAAUCCGGGCCAGGUCA